Molecule: long non-coding RNA, 982 nt
Filed under: Fukomys damarensis (Damara mole-rat)
Lineage: Eukaryota; Metazoa; Chordata; Mammalia; Rodentia; Bathyergidae
Description: lncRNA (ENSFDAG00000033153.1)
Source: RNAcentral
CUUCCUAUUCCAGUGGCUCUGGCCUGGAACGGCUCUGCUCCCAUGGAGCACUUGAAAAUGUUUGGUGACAUCUUGGUUGUCACAACUGGGACUGGUGGUUCUACUGGCAUCCAGCAGGUGGAGGAUGUGGCUAAAUGUCCCACAAUGCCCAGGAUGGCCUCAAAGCAAAGAAGCAUCCAGCUCCAAAUGCCAACAUGCUGAGGUCGCAGAACCCUGCCUUAUUCUUCGCAACCACACACGUUUUUAUGAACUUGUAGAAAAUGCAAGGGUUGAGGUGCUGGUCUCUUUGGAUAGCAGCCACACAAUACAACCUUGGACAUACUCUUCCACCUAUCCGGGACUUGGUUUCUCCACUUAAGCCACAAGGAUUUGGCCAGAUAUGGCCCUGUGAACCCUGACAGCAAGAGCUGGCUGUGGCUGUCCAAGCUGGAUGUUGGGCCUCCCACUCAGUCGUGGGUCAGAGGCCUGUGUUCCUGGCAGGUGCUCAGCAAUAACUCAUCAGAGUGAGAAGUCCCAGGGAGGCUGCCAUGAGCUUUGGCUCCCCCUGCCUUGGCGCAAUCUGUGUUUCCCACCUUAUGUCCAAGGGGUGCACUCAAAACAUUCAGGCCCAUCCUGCAGUCGGGAAGUCUGGUGACUCAGAGACAGAGCAGCUGCGGCCAGAUCCUGACCCCUGAGUCCUGUUACACUCCGUCGGACUCACACCCUCCCCUGCCGGCAGCUCUUCAGUUCGUGGAGGGAGAAGGAAGGUGAGGGCCAAAGAGGAGAAACAACCCGCCGAGAGCCACACAGCCACACCAUGGGCAGGCGUGAAACAUUAACUGAGCACCUACUGUGUGUAAGUGGCCACAGCAGGUGCUGAGUAGGUAGACAAGAUCCGUGUCUGCAGGGAUUUUAGUCCUGGUCCAGACUCCCGAUCAUAUUACCAUGGGCCGCCCUGUCUGCUUGUUUAAUCUUCACGAUAACUCAGAGACGAAGUUACGGC